AUUAAACUUUCCUUCGGGAAAGAUAUAAAGUGGCGCACGGGUGAGUAACACGUAAGUAAUCUACCCUCGAGUGGGGAAUAACGUCCGGAAACGGACGCUAAUACCGCAUAAUGCAGCGGCACCGCAAGGUGACAGUUGUUAAAGAUUUAUCGCUUGAGGAGGAGCUUGCGGCAGAUUAGCUAGUUGGUAAGGUAAUGGCUUACCAAGGCUACGAUCUGUAACCGGUCUAAGAGGACGGUCGGUCACACUGACACUGAAUAACGGGUCAGACUCCUACGGGAGGCAGCAGUCGGGAAUUUUGGGCAAUGGGCGAAAGCCUGACCCAGCAACGCCGCGUGAAGGAUGAAGUAUUUCGGUAUGUAAACUUCGAAAGAAUGGGAAGAAUAAAUGACGGUACCAUUUAUAAGGUCCGGCUAACUACGUGCCAGCAGCCGCGGUAAUACGUAGGGACCAAGCGUUGUUCGGAUUUACUGGGCGUAAAGGGCGCGUAGGCGGCGUGGUAAGUCACUUGUGAAAUCUCUGAGCUUAACUCAGAACGGCCAAGUGAUACUGCUGUGCUAGAGUGCAGAAGGGGCAAUCGGAAUUCUUGGUGUAGCGGUGAAAUGCGUAGAUAUCAAGAGGAACACCUGAGGUGAAGACGGGUUGCUGGGCUGACACUGACGCUGAGGCGCGAAAGCCAGGGGAGCAAACGGGAUUAGAUACCCCGGUAGUCCUGGCCCUAAACGAUGAAUACUUGGUGUCUGGAGUUAUUAGUGCUCCGGGUGCCGUCGCUAACGUUUUUAGUAUUCCGCCUGGGGAGUACGCUCGCAAGAGUGAAACUC
Molecule: ribosomal RNA, 821 nt
Filed under: uncultured Bacillota bacterium
Lineage: Bacteria; Bacillati; Bacillota
Description: bacterial SSU rRNA
Rfam family: Bacterial small subunit ribosomal RNA
Source: RNAcentral